UUGAAAUAGAUCUGCUUAUUCACUAGGGACAAAAGAACCAUGUUUAGAUUUUUUUCUGCUUUACGGUAUAAUAAGUAAUAUGUAAGGGUAAACAGUAAUUAUUUGUACUUUAUUUUGUUCACAUUUUUAAAACUUUCUAUUCUACUACAGUUGUCUGACUGCUUUAUUUAUCAGUUACUUUUCAGGAUCAUACCUUUCUGUCCAGUUAAAACCACAUAUACUAUGCCCCCGUGUGAUUUUUAACUUGAUAUCUUCCUGAUAAACUACACCUACAGGAGAUGCUUUGCCAUGGAAACCCAUAUCAAGAAGUGCCUGGUGUUAUGUUAAUGCGAGAGGAGUUUUGGAGUUCUGAAACCUAUGAUUCAGCAGAGCGUUGGCAACUUUUAGGGACCAUGUGCCUCAGGUCUCAGCAACCCCGAUCCUGAAAACUCAGCAAACCGGUCCAGAAGACCAACAUCCAGCUGGUAGAAAGCCUGAACUGUGAAGUCCAUUAAUUUCAGUUUCACCAAACAAUUUUGUACGGGAUGUUCCCACACUGAAGUGCAACUUUUAUUAGGAAAAUAUAACAAUUCAGUGCAAUUUUUACAAACAAAAAUACAACUGGCAGUAAAGCUGGCACCAGGUGUAAGUGCACUUGUGUGUGUGUGUGUGUGUUUUAUUCAAACUACUACUAUGCCAGCACUACUAAGAGCAUGAACAGUUUCCUGCGUGUGGUUAUGGCUCCAUCAGUGCAUUUCUUUAUCUUAUUGCCAUUAACAAUACACAAAAAAUCCCCACAAAAAAGCCAAAUCCCAAAGGAUUUUAUGGCAAGCUGUA
This is a long non-coding RNA of Oreochromis niloticus (Nile tilapia), 816 nucleotides long. RefSeq lists it as uncharacterized. NCBI's taxonomy places the organism in Eukaryota, Metazoa, Chordata, Actinopteri, Cichliformes, Cichlidae. The record is from RefSeq and is a predicted model, not a curated record. The transcript is spliced from 2 exons.